UCUUAGCGUGUGUGUAUGAUGUUUGUCUGUUUAUUUUAGCAACCUAUUCUUUCUCUUAGAACGUGGAUCCCGUCGAGUACGACGGACGUGAGGGGUGCUAAUACCUUCCCCUUGCGUAACCGACUCCCUUACCCUUUCUCUUUGGUCGCGAGACCAUGCUUUUUCCAGGUUUCUCUGAGCGUUUCCUUUCCCUAUCUUGGGAUAAAUAACGCGCAGUGGCGGCUCUGUGUUGUUU
RNAcentral lists this long non-coding RNA (235 nucleotides) under Lathyrus oleraceus (garden pea). Its description in RNAcentral is "Pisum sativum (pea) long non-coding RNA (PSAT_LNC021180)". The record is from RNAcentral. Lineage: Eukaryota; Viridiplantae; Streptophyta; Magnoliopsida; Fabales; Fabaceae.